ACGAAAGCUAGGGGAGCGAAUGGGAUUAGAUACCCCAGUAGUCCUAGCCGUAAACGAUGGAUACUAGGUGUUGUCUGUAUCGACCCGGACAGUGCCGUAGCUAACGCGUUAAGUAUCCCGCCUGGGGAGUACGCACGCAAGUGUGAAACUCAAAGGAAUUGACGGGGGCCCGCACAAGCGGUGGAGUAUGUGGUUUAAUUCGAUGCAACGCGAAGAACCUUACCAGGCGUCGACGCGGCCGCGGCCGCGUCGACACCGUUACCAAAUCUUGGACAUCCUCUGACCCCUCUAGAGAUAGAGUUUUCCCCUUCGGGGGACAGAGUGACAGGUGGUGCAUGGUUGUCGUCAGCUCGUGUCGUGAGAUGUUGGGUUAAGUCCCGCAACGAGCGCAACCCUUAAGCUUAGUUGCCAUCAUUAAGUUGGGCACUCUAAGUUGACUGCCGGUGACAAACCGGAGGAAGGUGGGGAUGACGUCAAAUCAUCAUGCCCCUUAUGAUUUGGGCUACACACGUGCUACAAUGGACAAUACAAAGGGCAGCGAAACCGCGAGGUACC
This 555-nucleotide ribosomal RNA is filed under the name uncultured bacterium. Its description in RNAcentral is "bacterial SSU rRNA". It matches the Rfam family "Bacterial small subunit ribosomal RNA", at positions 753 to 1266 of the family's 1533-position model. The record is from RNAcentral.